GACAGAGGUGCCGAGCGUUAGGCGGAAUCACUGGGCUUAAAGCGUGUGUAGGCGGAUCUGUAAGUACCUUGUGAAAUCCCACGGCUCAACCGUGGAACUGCUUGGUAUACUGCGGGUCUUGAGCCACCUAGGGGCAAGUGGAACAAACGGUGGAGCGGUGAAAUGCGUAGAUAUUCGCAAGAACACCAGUGGCGAAGGCGGCUCACUGGCCCGAUACUGACGCUGAGGCACGAAAGCGUGGGGAGCAAACAGG
This 253-nucleotide ribosomal RNA is filed under the name uncultured bacterium. Its description in RNAcentral is "partial 16S ribosomal RNA". It matches the Rfam family "Bacterial small subunit ribosomal RNA", at positions 524 to 776 of the family's 1533-position model. The record is from RNAcentral.